CGUGCAGUAGCUCAGUGAUAGAGCUCUCGUUUCAUAUGCGGGAAGACCUGGGUUCUAUUACCGGCUGCUUAA
Molecule: transfer RNA, 72 nt
Organism: Toxocara canis (dog roundworm)
Lineage: Eukaryota; Metazoa; Nematoda; Chromadorea; Rhabditida; Toxocaridae
Rfam family: tRNA
About the family: Transfer RNA (tRNA) molecules are approximately 80 nucleotides in length. Their secondary structure includes four short double-helical elements and three loops (D, anti-codon, and T loops).
Source: Rfam